This 522-nucleotide ribosomal RNA is filed under the name Pseudomonas poae. RNAcentral describes it as "bacterial SSU rRNA". It matches the Rfam family "Bacterial small subunit ribosomal RNA", at positions 262 to 776 of the family's 1533-position model. Lineage: Bacteria; Pseudomonadati; Pseudomonadota; Gammaproteobacteria; Pseudomonadales; Pseudomonadaceae. The record is from RNAcentral.
GGCUCACCAAGGCGACGAUCCGUAACUGGUCUGAGAGGAUGAUCAGUCACACUGGAACUGAGACACGGUCCAGACUCCUACGGGAGGCAGCAGUGGGGAAUAUUGGACAAUGGGCGAAAGCCUGAUCCAGCCAUGCCGCGUGUGUGAAGAAGGUCUUCGGAUUGUAAAGCACUUUAAGUUGGGAGGAAGAGCAGUUACCUAAUACGUGAUUGUUUUGACGUUACCGACAGAAUAAGCACCGGCUAACUCUGUGCCAGCAGCCGCGGUAAUACAGAGGGUGCAAGCGUUAAUCGGAAUUACUGGGCGUAAAGCGCGCGUAGGUGGUUUGUUAAGUUGGAUGUGAAAUCCCCGGGCUCAACCUGGGAACUGCAUUCAAAACUGACUGACUAGAGUAUGGUAGAGGGUGGUGGAAUUUCCUGUGUAGCGGUGAAAUGCGUAGAUAUAGGAAGGAACACCAGUGGCGAAGGCGACCACCUGGACUAAUACUGACACUGAGGUGCGAAAGCGUGGGGAGCAAACAGG